RNAcentral lists this ribosomal RNA (434 nucleotides) under uncultured bacterium. Its description in RNAcentral is "partial 16S ribosomal RNA". It matches the Rfam family "Bacterial small subunit ribosomal RNA", at positions 29 to 507 of the family's 1533-position model. The record is from RNAcentral.
AGCGAACGCUGGCGGCAGGCCUAACACAUGCAAGUCGAACGAACCUUUCGGGGUUAGUGGCGGACGGGUGAGUAACACGUGGGAACGUGCCUUUAGGUUCGGAAUAACUCAGGGAAACUUGUGCUAAUACCGAAUGUGCCCUUCGGGGGAAAGAUUUAUCGCCUUUAGAGCGGCCCGCGUCUGAUUAGCUAGUUGGUUGAGGUAAUGGCUCACCAAGGCGACGAUCAGUAGCUGGUCUGAGAGGAUGAUCAGCCACAUUGGGACUGAGACACGGCCCAAACUCCUACGGGAGGCAGCAGUGGGGAAUCUUGCGCAACGGGCGAAAGCCUGACGCAGCCAUGCCGCGUGAAUGAUGAAGGUCUUAGGAUUGUAAAAUUCUUUCACCGGGGACGAUAAUGACGGUACCCGGAGAAGAAGCCCCGGCUAACUUCGUG